AGGUUAGCAUACAGCCACCGGAGCCCUUUGAUUCGUUUUUUUUUUUACUGAUAACUGUCAAGAAGCCAUCUUGUGUGUCUCUCAAACAUUCCUUCGUCUGCAGAUGAGGUUGGAGGGUUUUGGGGGGAAAGCGUCAAAGUUGAGCGUCAUCCCUCGCUCUACACGUGUUGGCUUCUGUUCUGUUAAAAGUGAAGAUCUUUCCUGGACCGGUCAGAAAAAAAUCAGGCUCUCCAAAAAGUAGAAAAAGGAGACGCUGGGGAACGUGUGCUGAGACAGACAGAAAGAAGAAGAAAGACACAGCUGGCUUACUGUGGGCGUUUGGAUACACUGUGGUGUUGCCUGGUUAAAUCUGACUCACUACAGAGGGUGUGAUUUCAAAUGGGGAGGAGGAAAGGAGUGAAGUGGAUGGAGAGGGAGAGACUAAGAGGACGCAGCACUGGGAGACUGGAAACGGGAGUUAGGGGACUGACUGCAUGUGUCGAAAAUGAACAAACUCUGGACUAACAGAGGGGAUCAGGCAAACGAGUAGUAGCGGUGACCAAACGAACAACAGCGCUGAAUGCCGUCAGCGCAAAACAAAUCAAUAUAAACAAACAGCGAGCCUCUCGUCUGUCAGAAGCGAGGGAACCGUCAUAACUAUUCCAUACAUCCUCGUUCAUUACCGUUAGCCAGGGUUGCUUUUAAAUACAAUGUGUCCGUUAGUAAGCAAGGAAUGCUAAUUACCAUUAGCAUUAGUUUUUGUUAGCUGCCGUGGUCGACCGUGCCUGCGUGACGUUAUUUUUUUAAUCAAUGGCAGUGUCGAUGCCAAGGCAGUGCCAGUGCAUUCUCUGCCAUUUUAAAUGUCUAAAGUAUUACACUGCAUGCAUUUCAUUAAACGGCCUAAUUUGUAAUAAUAAUACAUUUUAUUUAUAAUGCACUCUUCAUCAGCAUAUCUCAGAGUUCAACAUAAAUGGCAAUAACAUAGGUAAUACAUAAAAUAAUAAUUCAAACUAGUAAAAAAAUUAAGUAAAAGCUAGUAAAAACAUGGAGCUUCAUGUAGGGGACCCAGAAGAGCGAGGUGCUUGCAGAUCUAAGGGUGCGGGUGGAGAUUUGGGGAGUGAGUAGUUCUUGUAGAUAGGGAGGUGCAUGUCCAUUUAUGCAUUCAUGAGUGAGUAGUAGAAUUUUGUAGUCAGUCCGGAAAGAGACAGGAAGCCAGUGUAGUGAGUGUAGGACGGGUGUUAUGUGUUCAUAUUUCGGGACUCCCAUCAGGAUCCUGUCAGCGCUGUUUUGGAUGAAUGGUCGUUUCAGGAUAUUCUUCCCAGUGAUUACAGUUAAAAGUGAAUUACAGUAGUCCAGUCUUGAGGAGAUACAGGCAUGGACAAGCUUCUCUGCAUCUGACAGGGUAAACGUGGGGCGGAGUUUGGAGAUGUUUUUGGUCAGGUAUUUUACAUGGUCAUUAAAGGUCAGGCGAGGGUCAAACCUAACUCCCAGAUUGGUAACUGUGGAGAGAGGUAUGACCUGACUGUCAAAGGUGAGAUGGAUAAUGGAGGAUGACUGAACCUGGUGUGGAGUGCCAACAAGAAGGGCUUCGGUGUUGGAUUAGCGGUUUAGCUAGAGAAAGUUGUCGUGCCUUUAUCUCCCCAAGACAGGCGAUGAGACAUGACAUGGCAGCAGAGGGGCUCGGGACAGUCUUGAUGUAGAGCUGUGUGUCGUCAGCAUAACAGUGAAAGGACCUUCCAUGUUUGCUGAUGACACGGCCAAGGGGGAGCAUGUUGGUGAUAAAGAAGUUGGGGCCAAGGACGGACCCUUGCGGAACACCACAGGAGACAGGGAGCAGUCUGGACUGCAUCUUCCCAGUAAGACCUAUUCAGUUCGGCCAGAAAAGUAGGACUGAAACCACUUAAGUCUGAUUUUCCAAUGGUGGUGUGGAGGCACUCUAGGAGGAUAGUGUGAUCCACUGUAUCAAAUGCAGCAGUCAGGUCCAGGAUGAUGAGAAUUGAGGGUGAUCCAGCCUCAGCUGUCAUCAGCAGGUCAUUCGGCACCCUGAGCAAAGCUGUUUCCGUGCUGUGAGCUGAAAGGAAUCCUGACUGAAUUUUUUCAAACAAGUUGUUGUGCUUGAGGUAGCCCUGAAGUUGAGAACCUCAUCUAGCACCUGGUACAGGAAGGGAAGGUUGGAGAUCUGUAUUGUGGUCUGUUGUUGGCUAGAACCUCCGGUCCAGGGUGGGCUUCUUGAGGAAGGGACGGAUGACAGCAACUUUGAGAGCUCUGAAACACUGCUCAGGGAUGCAUUUUACAGUUCUACUAAUUCAUCCAUUGAUGCAGAGGCUGGGCAGGUGAUGAGCUCGAGGUUCAUAGUCAUAGCAACGGAGUCUAUGCUUUUCCAGUUCCGAAAAGACAUUUGGCGCUUAGGUCUAACAGUAGGCAGCAUGAGAGUCAUGGCCAUUGAGACAACCUUGUGGUCGGACACACCAAGAUCAUAAACCUGUAGGUUACUGAUGGGAGCCGAGUCAGUGAUAACCAGAUCCCGAAUGUGCCCAUUGGUGUGAGUAGAAACCUCAAGCAAAAUGACAGGAGGGGUUGUUGACAUUAAUAUUUAAAUCACCAGAAAAUGACAAUAUUAGUGGACAUAGUGCAGAGUGAAGUAAGGAGAUCACUUACCUCAGGUAGAAGAGAUGGGUUUGGCUUUGGAGGACGGUAUAUGACAAGCACUGUCACGCAGUACGGAGAUUUGCAUUUGGAGGCCAGGUAUUCCAUAAAGGAUCAGGCAUUUGCAGAGGAGAACGUUUUAGUUCAACAUGAUGGCUGGUCCACCACCACGACCAGAGCUGCGGGCUUUCUCCAUGUAGUUAUAGCCAGGGGGACAUGCCUCAUUAAGCACAGAGUAGUCCCCUGGUUUUUGCCAGGUUUCUGUUAGGCACAUGCAGUGGCGUUUGCCAACGACCACAGGGACAAGCACAGCUUCAGCCGGGGCAGCAAUCCUAAAUGAAUCUGACUGUAUUCCAACUGAGGGAAGUAGGAAAAGGUCACAUUCCAACUCAAGGAGCAAUGGCAAUACGUAAAAACGGGGUUGAAAAAAUAAUAGCUAUAAAAGCCAUAUAAAUCACACAAGCACAAAGUGUCAAGAGGAGAGGCAGCCAACGUACCCUAUUAGCCGGGUUGUCAGUCUGUUCAUAAUAUUCUACAGUGCCAAAGAAGAAGAAGAUUUUUCUAUUGCCAAGUAUUAUUUUACACAUACAGGAAAUUGUUCUCUGAUUUAACCCAUCUCACACAGUGUGACCAGUGGGCUGUGAACGCGUCCAGGUUGGGUGUCUUGCUCAGUCGCACACACUCCAAUUAAUGCGCCACAGUCAACCCAAGAUGGUGCCUUUCCUACAGUGGGUGAAAAUGAAACUCUUAAAAAUGUGAUCUUUUUAUCAUGCCUUAGAAGUGGAGGUACUGGUUUGGAUAGAAUGUGUGAAAUAGUUACAUUGUAUUGUCUCCUAUUCCGGAACCAGCUGCAACUCACUGGAUAAUGCUAGAAUUUCUCCACAAAAAAAUACGUCUACAAACUAGUCAUGGAUGCUUUCAGUUUCAUUUCAUGAAAAUAUAGAAUCACUGUAUGGCAAAACCCAAUAUGUAAGCACCUCAUGAGUAAGGCACAAGAUCUUAUGCUGGCACAGUUUGGGAAUAAAUCUGUGCUGAGAGGACCUACUUACCUUCACAACGUCAUCGUCAACAUCACUUUUGGUUCCAUUUACGUGUCUCACUUUUCGCUAUAGGUUGGUCCCUAUUGAGUCAACAUCAAAUGCUUCAGUUUGGAUUCUUGUAUCCAAAAGGGAUUAGGAAAAGUUCUUGUACAGAUUUAUAUGCCUAAAUAUGACAAUUCUGGUUUGUACAAAUUCAAUCAAACACACCAGCAGUGGUCCUUUAAAACAAGGCUAGAGAAUAUUGCUGUCCUGUCAAUAGAUCUCAGAGAUUAAAGUAGCAGUUAACUCAGAUAUAAUCUGGAUUAUUUUAUAUUCAAUUGAGUUAAUCCUGUAUAUGUGUGAGAUUCACCAAAGUAAUCAUUUUUAUUUUGGGAUAGUACCAAUUCUCUGAGAGGGAUAGAAUUAUUGUUAUUUUCAACCACAGCACAAUAAAUGUAUGAGUCUGAAACUGG
Non-coding RNA from Gasterosteus aculeatus aculeatus (three-spined stickleback), 4117 nucleotides. NCBI's taxonomy places the organism in Eukaryota, Metazoa, Chordata, Actinopteri, Perciformes, Gasterosteidae. The record is from RefSeq and is a predicted model, not a curated record.